GACGAACCGUGCGAACGUUAUUCGGAAUCACUGGGCUUAAAGGGCGCGUAGGCGGACUCGUUAGUCAGGGGUGAAAGCCCACGGCCCAACCGUGGAAGUGCCUUUGAUACUGCGAGUCUCGAGGGGGAUAGGGGCGUGCGGAACUGUAGGUGGAGCGGUGAAAUGCGUUGAUAUCUACAGGAACUCCGGUGGCGAAAGCGGCGUGCUGGAUCUCUUCUGACGCUGAGGCUCGAAAGCUAGGGGAGCAAACGGG
This 253-nucleotide ribosomal RNA is filed under the name uncultured bacterium. RNAcentral describes it as "partial 16S ribosomal RNA". It matches the Rfam family "Bacterial small subunit ribosomal RNA", at positions 524 to 776 of the family's 1533-position model. The record is from RNAcentral.